UUUCCAUCUGUCAUCCUGCAG
Molecule: microRNA, 21 nt
Filed under: Mus musculus (house mouse)
Lineage: Eukaryota; Metazoa; Chordata; Mammalia; Rodentia; Muridae
Description: mmu-miR-7093-3p
Source: miRBase by way of RNAcentral